Osmerus eperlanus (European smelt) is the source of this 967-nucleotide long non-coding RNA. RefSeq lists it as uncharacterized. The record is from RefSeq and is a predicted model, not a curated record. Lineage: Eukaryota; Metazoa; Chordata; Actinopteri; Osmeriformes; Osmeridae. The transcript has 3 exons.
GCACUCCUCUCCAAGCCCCAGGAAGGUGUCUGGGCAUGGGCCGGAGAGCCUAGCUUCGUGUGAUAUCAGAUAAGAGCACACUGGGUUUCUAAUGUUGUAAGUUCGCUGCGAAUCGUACAACAAGUCUUGCUUUCCUGCAACGCCUCUUCCUGAUUGGCUGUGACGGGCGCAAGGAAACACAACCUGCUUACGUAAAUAAGCUGGGGGAGAAAAGCACAAUGAGCCAAAGACAGGAGACAAAAAGUUUUGGGCGGCAGGUGAACCCUGAACAAAACAGCACGAGAGGCGUCUUAUAAAAUCGGGCAUUGUGUUAUCAGUACUUCAUGUUAGAAAACCAGGAUUACUGUAAAAUAGGAUGCAGAGGAGUGCUAUGCGGUUUCCAGAACAAUCUUUUGCAAACUAGGAGCCUGCGUGAACCACAAGGAUGAAGAGAUGUCGAACAGCAUUGUGACACCUGCAUUGUCACUUCAGACGUAUGGAAAUGUGAUACAAAGGGGUUAGUUUAAAUAUGGCUGUAACACUACAUUUAUGCAGGUUAAUAAUGAUGUUUAGGUGUUCAUAGGAAAGUGACAACCUCAGAAUAUAUAAAUGAACAGAUGAUUAAAGAACAAUACGAUUUAACAAUGUUUCAUGUUAGCCGUUAAUAUGUUUCAGGAAAAUAAACAGCUCAGUGAUUGUUGAUGUGGCGUUUCACGUAGUCAUUUCCCAAACUCUUUGUCAAUGAGCAUUGACAGCACUUGGAGUACCUGAGGCGAUCUUCUUCAUUCCGCUCUUAAAAACAUCUAUCGUUUGAGAUGAAAUGACCAAAAGGUGUCAGAAAAGGGUCAUCUUUAUCUGUGUUGGUAUACUCCUCUCCUCAUUGAUUCGUAGGUUAUGAAUAUCAUAUUUGAGAAAAAAAACUAAAACAAAAAAAGAACACAGGUUUCUAGUCAGGGUUCCGGAAGGCCCUCAACUCCGACCCUCCAGC